UGCCGUGGAGCUGGUGGGUGGAGUAGUUGUAGAGGAAGAGGGGCAGGCCCGGCCUGAUGGCCCUCACCGAAUCCCUGUACCUGGACGGCAGCCCUGCAGCAGAGAGUGAUUCAGUAUUUGGAUUGGAUGCAAUUGGAAUGGAGGAAUAAAAAUCAAAACUUGGGAGUUGAUCUUGAUUCGAUUCAGUAUAUAUCCGAUGCUGGAAUAUGUACGUAUAUGUAGGGAAUAAUCGAUCCAAUUCCAAUCAAUCAUCAAUCAUACCGAAGAGCUGCCUCUUGAGGUUCUCCUCCAUGGUGUCGUUGUUGCAGACGAAGAUGUAUCCGCCGAUGGCCUCGCCCCUGGGCAGCGCCUCCGACGCCGGAAGGCUCUUGAACCUCUUGUCGACGCCGGCGCCGUUGCCGUUGCCGGAGUUCUUGUGCUUCUUGUCGUGGUGGGCGGCGGCGGUGGAGUUCUUCUUGCCACCGACGACGGUGUUGUUGUUGUUGUUGUUGGCUGGCCUGCCGACGGACUUGUUGAAGUAGCUCUUGACGGCGUCGUUGUUGGCGUUGGCGUUGUUCUUGUUGAGGUAGUAGUCGGUCACGCUCAUGGUCUUGCCGGCGGCGGCGUUGGCGUUGUUCUUGUUGAGGUAGUAGUCGGUCACGCUGAUGGUCUUGCCGGCGUUGGCGUUGGUGGUGUUCUUGUUGAGGUAGUAGUCGGUCACGCUGAUAGCGGCGGCGUUGUUGGAACCAACACCUGCACCUGCACCGGCGGCGUUGGCGUUGUAGCGGUCGGCGCUGGUGGUUGUGGCGUUGCCGAAGGCGAGCUUGGCGGAUCCGAUGAGGCCCGGGGAGUUGGUAUUGCCGCCGGGGAAGGAGGAGGAGGGAUCCGGUGGCGAGGUGGUGGAGGACCAGAUGGAGUCGGCGAUGGAGAGGUUGGAGAAGUUGUUGUGCAGGCGCAGCUGGUCGCUGAAGUUCCAGAACUCGCGGUCGUAGGAGGCGUCCAUGGCGGAUGGAUGGAUCGGGAGGUCGGCGGUCGGGUCCUCCUCACUACCUCUCCUCCCCAACCAAACCAACUGGUGAAUGGAAGAAGAGGAUGGAUGCG
RNAcentral lists this long non-coding RNA (1080 nucleotides) under Sorghum bicolor (sorghum). RNAcentral describes it as "long non-coding RNA (SBIC_LNC016811)". The record is from RNAcentral. Lineage: Eukaryota; Viridiplantae; Streptophyta; Magnoliopsida; Poales; Poaceae.